GGAAUGGUCUCGACUUAGAGUUAAAUUGUGACGCCUAGGGGUUACCUGUGUACUGCUACGGGUCCGGAAUCAAACUUAAAGGCGCACGGUUCAAUAAUAAAUGGGCAACCUGCCUGUAAAAUCGGGAUAACUCGCGAAAACGUGAGCUAAUACCGGAUAACACUUUUCAUCUCAUGGUGAGAAGAUAAAAGACGGUUUCGGCUGUCACUUACAGAUGGGCCCGCGGCGCAUUAGCUAGUUGGUGAGGUAACGGCUCACCAGGGCGACGAUGCGUAGCCGACCUGAGAGGGUGAUCGGCCACACUGGGACUGAGACACGGCCCAGACUCCUACGGGAGGCAACAUUAGGGAAUCUUCCGCAAUGGACGAAAGUCUGACGGAGCAACGCCGCGUGAGUGAUGAAGGUUUUCGGAUCGUAAAACUCUGUUGUUAGGGAAGAACAAGUUGGGUAGUAACUGACCCAACCUUGACGGUACCUAACCAGAAAGCCACGGCUAACUACGUGCCAGCAGCCGCGGUAAUACGUAGGUGGCAAGCGUUGUCCGGAAUUAUUGGGCGUAAAGCGCUCGCAGGCGGUCUUUUAAGUCUGAUGUGAAAGCCCACGGCUUAACCGUGGAGGGUCAUUGGAAACUGGAGGACUUGAGUACAGAAGAGGAGAGUGGAAUUCCACGUGUAGCGGUGAAAUGCGUAGAGAUGUGGAGGAACACCAGUGGCGAAGGCGACUCUCUGGUCUGUAACUGACGCUGAGGAGCGAAAGCGUGGGUAGCGAACAGGAUUAGAUACCCUGGUAGUCCACGCCGUAAACGAUGAGUGCUAGGUGUUAGGGGGUUUCCGCCCCUUAGUGCUGAAGUUAACGCAUUAAGCACUCCGCCUGGGGAGUACGGCCGCAAGGCUGAAACUCAAAAGAAUUGACGGGGGCCCGCACAAGCGGUGGAGCAUGUGGUUUAAUUCGAAGCAACGCGAAGAACCUCACCAGGUCUUGACAUCCUCUGAUACCUCUAGAGAUAGAGUUUUCCCUUCGGGGACAGAGUGACAGGUGGUGCAUGGUUGUCGUCAGCUCGUGUCGUGAGAUGUUGGGUUAAGUCCCGCAACGAGCGCAACCCUUGAUCUUAGUUGCCAGCAUUCAGUUGGGCACUCUAAGGUGACUGCCGGUGACAAACCGGAGGAAGGUGGGGAUGACGUCAAAUCAUCAUGCCCCUUAUGACCUGGGCUACACACGUGCUACAAUGGAUGGAACAAAGGGAAGCGAACCCGCGAGGUCAAGCCAAUCCCAUAAAACCAUUCUCAGUUCGGAUUGUAGGCUGCAACUCGCCUACAUGAAGCCGGAAUCGCUAGUAAUCGCGGAUCAGCAUGCCGCGGUGAAUACGUUCCCGGGCCUUGUACACACCGCCCGUUACGGCUCCCGAGUUCGUAACUCUUGGGGUAGCCUAGCUACCUACUCGAGCCAGUUACGCCUCUGAGUCAUACACCCC
Molecule: ribosomal RNA, 1471 nt
Filed under: uncultured Oceanobacillus sp.
Lineage: Bacteria; Bacillati; Bacillota; Bacilli; Caryophanales; Bacillaceae
Description: bacterial SSU rRNA
Rfam family: Bacterial small subunit ribosomal RNA
Source: RNAcentral